UAAUGUAUGGGGAUCUGCCCGAUAGAGGGGAAUAACUACUGGAAACGGUGGCUAAUACCGCAUAAUGUCUACGGACCAAAGCAGGGGCUCUUCGGACCUUGCGCUAUCGGAUGAACCCAUAUGGGAUUAGCUAGUAGGUGGGGUAAAGGCUCACCUAGGCGACGAUCUCUAGCUGGUCUGAGAGGAUGAUCAGCCACACUGGGACUGAGACACGGCCCAG
RNAcentral lists this ribosomal RNA (220 nucleotides) under uncultured bacterium. Its description in RNAcentral is "partial 16S ribosomal RNA". It matches the Rfam family "Bacterial small subunit ribosomal RNA", at positions 111 to 334 of the family's 1533-position model. The record is from RNAcentral.